UUCUAGCCGUGGGUGAAGCGGUAUCUUUUUAUUUUUUGUCUUUCGACAAGCUAAGUAUGACAAAAAAUAAAAAAUUUAGCGGAACACGCGACGAUUG
Molecule: small RNA, 97 nt
Filed under: Flavobacterium terrigena
Lineage: Bacteria; Pseudomonadati; Bacteroidota; Flavobacteriia; Flavobacteriales; Flavobacteriaceae
Description: Flavo-1 RNA
Rfam family: Flavo-1 RNA
Source: RNAcentral